UCCAGACUCCUACGGGAGGCAGCAGUGGGGGAUAUUGCACAAUGGGGGGAACCCUGAUGCAGCGACGCCGCGUGGGUGAAGGAGCGUUUCGGCGCGUAAAGCCCUAUCGGCAGGGAAGAAGGAGGACGGUACCUGACUAAGAAGCCCCGGCUAACUACGUGCCAGCAGCCGCGGUAAUACGUAGGGGGCAAGCGUUAUCCGGAUUUACUGGGUGUAAAGGGGGCGCAGACGGCAGCGCAAGCCAGGAGUGAAAGCCCGGGGCCCAACCCCGGGACUGCUCUUGGAACUGCGCGGCUGGAGUGCAGGAGGGGCAGGCGGAAUUCCUGGUGUAGCGGUGAAAUGCGUAGAUAUCAGGAGGAACACCGGUGGCGAAGGCGGCCUGCUGGACUGCGACUGACGUUGAGGCCCGAAAGCGUGGGGAGCAAACAGGAUUAGAUACCCUGGUAUA
Molecule: ribosomal RNA, 448 nt
Filed under: uncultured bacterium
Lineage: Bacteria
Description: partial 16S ribosomal RNA
Rfam family: Bacterial small subunit ribosomal RNA
Source: RNAcentral